CUGAGUUCCCAACAGUCGUAAUAUUUUCAGAAAAGAAAGAGGCUGGGGAGCCACGGAAGACACACCCAAGUUCCAAGUCGCUCCGUUAAGUGGUAUGGCUACAACUCUAAGAAGCUGUGCUUAAGUUGAGGAUUGCUAAAUUUGGAAGUCUGGAGGUGAUCCAGGGAAGAAGUGCUCCUUCCCUGCCAGCCCUUCAGGAGGAAGACGCUGUGCAAUCACUGGACAGGCUCUAAGGAAAAGUCACUGCUCCCUCUCGCUCCCAUGGCAAAGCUGGGAAGACACACUCCAUUUGGGGUCAGGCCUGGUUUUCACCUCUGCUCCCUCAGCGGCACCCGAGCACACCCAUUGUCCCUUCAGACGCACACCACAAGCCUGUCCACUUGAGGGCUGCGCUGGCUGCCAUAACUUAGGCUUUGGCCUCACAGACCUGCAGCCGGGCCACACCCGCCAGGUGCUGGAUCUCUUGUGGUCCUUGGACACACUUGUUUCUCACGUCCCUUCGUUGGGCACGGGGCUCCUGCUGCCAACCCUUUACCCCUCAUGGCGGGUAGACCUGCUUCUUCCAGUGCGUUCAUUCCCCACCGGCUCCUGCCUCCGCUCCUUCUAUCUACCUGGGGAGGGCCCCUGAUGGGGAUGGAGUGGAUUCUACUGGUGACAAGGAGGAUGAAGCACAGAAACGCCAUCAGGACGGUCAUCUGGGAGCCACCAUAGGAGGGACCGCCUGGGAGUCACCACGGGAAGGGGCCGCCCGGGAGUCACCACAGGAAGGGGCUGCCUGGCCGCCAGGACCAAAGCCCCCUGCCUGGGUGAGCCAGCCUGGUGGCCUCGUGAGAGCUUCCCGGCAUUUCCAGUCCCUGUUUUAAGGCAAAUUAACAACGGCAAGGGCAACAACAAUGAACUGAAGUCAGUCCCCAUUUUUCUAGUAUCACGUCUGCACAGCAUCAGCAGCACGGAUAAAUAACAAUGCCACACAGGGACAUUUAAUCUCCCUCAACUGACUUUGUAUUUGAGUGGGGCACAGAUGUAAGUGUCCUCAUCACCUUUUCAUGUCCCGGUUUCCUCGUCUAUGAAAUAAGCAUCCCAUAUUGUCUGUUCACCUUAUCUGCUUGGUGAUAUGUUCAUCUGGAGUAGAACUGGGAUUUAAGAUUUUUUAAGGAUGCCAUAGUACAAGGCAUUGGCAUUCUUUCCUUAUUUCCCCCCCACUGUUUUUCCCCUGUGGUCUUCCUAAGGAACUAGCAUCAGUCACUUCGCCCUCUGAGAAAUGAACUGAAAUGCCUGUGAAAUGAGUCCUGGGUGUGGAGGGAGAACUGAAGGUUGCAGAUCCCUGCUCUUCCACAUUUCUCCAUGGGGACAGGACAUGAAGUUUGCAGUUCAUCUCGUAUUGACAUGAAUGGAGGAAUGAGCUUCAAAAAGGAAAUGAGUCAGAGUCUCUGGGUUUGGGAAAAUUCCCGAAGGCUGGCCGGGGGUGAUAAUGACCUCGGGAAAGCCAGGAAAGCCGUGGGCUGCACUUGGCACAGACUUUGCCGACGCCUUCCGACAGGUCUUGUUUGCAUAGAGUCUCAUCCAGCUGAGUUCUGCUUCAACGUAAAAACAUCCCGGGCCAAAAAUCAGACCAAGUCCAUUGAGGCUCUACGUCUUUGCGUGGCAUCUGUUAACAGCAAUCCAUUAGCCAACACCUCUGAGGUCUUGGAAGGCAAGUACCGCAAUUUCUAUUUUUGUAGCUGCUCAAAAAAGGGAGGGUUGCCACUUGUCACACUGUCAGAAAUUAUAGCAUUAUCGUUUCCUGGCUGGCUCAGAAUUCUUGGCUGGGUCUCCUUUUAAGUCUUUUGCCCUCAUUAAGACCACACUUUCAGCUGGAUCACAAGGAGAGCCUCCAUUGCAGGGUAAACUUCAGACUUCCCUGAAGACCAUCAUCUCUCCUUCCAAACUGCAGUGUUCAAGGGAUCACCUUCUGAUUUCUUCCUUAGACUUGCAGCUUUCUCGAACGUGUCCUCCGACAUAUCAUCUGUUUAAUUCCUGUUUUUAAACUUUGUUUAAAGGCAAAAUUUUCCCACCUUGUCCUGAAAAUUGGAGUAAAGUCCUGCUCUCAUCUCCUUUCACCUACUUACAGAGGGAGCAUUUUUAAGAAAAGAAUAAUCAGGUUUUGAAGGAAAAUUCUUCAACCCAGUGGCUUAAACAAUAAAAAAAGAGGAGACACUCCUCUUGAGAUUUACAGAAUGACAAAAAGUAGUUUUAUUCUUUAAAGAAUUACCUAGUAGAACUGAAAGUGCCUCCAGGCUUUGGUAAAUAUAAGCAGUCAUCUCUAAAACAACAGAGAAAUUAAUUCCAUAAAGUUUCCAGGUUCUCAGUGGUAUAAUUCACCAUUGAAGCCAGUAAUCUUGUCCCUAUAAAUCUAAGUCCUUCCCAGUUACCCUGGCCUGAAAAUACCCUUUCCUCCUCUCUGCAUCCCAUCAAGACCAGU
RNAcentral lists this long non-coding RNA (2461 nucleotides) under Homo sapiens (human). RNAcentral's name for it is "HSALNT0083428". The record is from RNAcentral. Lineage: Eukaryota; Metazoa; Chordata; Mammalia; Primates; Hominidae.